RNAcentral lists this long non-coding RNA (766 nucleotides) under Homo sapiens (human). Its description in RNAcentral is "non-protein coding lnc-KCNA4-9:5". The record is from RNAcentral. Lineage: Eukaryota; Metazoa; Chordata; Mammalia; Primates; Hominidae.
ACAAGACAGCACAAAGCCAACCAGGGUCCCUGAUUAAAAGUGAUUUCUUCUUUAAUUGAAAUGAUCUCUAUGAACAGCUGCCAGAGGAGCUUCUGAAGAGGGAAGUGCUACGAAGAGAGUUGGAAUAAGAACUAGAGGACAGAAGACUUGAAACUUCUCAUGGCACAGAACCUGCCAGCAGAAAGAUGAAGACACCUGUCCCUAUCUGCAUGUAGAGUCAUAAGCAGUGAUUUUCUAACUUGGCAGUGCUCCUUCGAGUUGACAUUUCCAAAAUCACCUAGAGGACCAGGAAAUUCAGUCAGGCUGGCAGCACAAGAGGUGGGCCUGAUCAAAUCCCUCCUGGAAAAUUAUUAUUCAAGAAAUAAGAGAAAAUGGAAGACGCUGGGCACAUGUCCCAAAAUACUAUAGAUAAGUUUUUGGAAGUAACUACUGAUUUCCAAAUAUAGAAAGUUUUCGAGCUUUGAUUUAUUUCGACCUAGAAGAAAAUUUAAAAAAUAAAAAGUGACAAAAUAAAGGCAACAUAUUUUCCUACUGUAACUCCUCAUCCAGAAUGAAGAGAUUUGAAAAAAUUAAUCUCAAUGAUUCAAACACCUCUCCUAAAGAACAUAUUUUCCUCCAUUAUAUAAGUAUUUCAAGUGGAGGUUUUUAAAUCUAAACAAUCAGAUUCCAAAAUGACUGCUUGUUUUCUUCCUUUUCAUGGCUGGGUAGCUUUCCUCCUUCUGUCUCGCUGUUUCUCUCCUCCCUCCCUCCCUCCCUCCCUCCCCCU